Molecule: non-coding RNA, 990 nt
Organism: Odocoileus virginianus texanus
Lineage: Eukaryota; Metazoa; Chordata; Mammalia; Artiodactyla; Cervidae
Source: the annotation of a RefSeq genome assembly
CAGCUCAUCCCCUAGUUCUAGGGGACCAGUGAGGGAAAUGACAAGAAGAGAUCUCAGUACAGUCUUUUUUCACACUCAUACUGUAAUUAAGUUUCUUAAACGAGCUUAUUGCUCAAUGUGAUCAGACAAUAGAUGCUGGGUCUGGAAAGUCUUAAGGGAACUGUAUUUCUCUGCAUCUUAAAGACAGAGGAAUUACCAACUGCCUCAACCUCGGGCACCAUUGCUAAGUCUGAAGAAAUUAUUUGGUGCUUUCUUCCUUGAGCCCUACGCACGUCUCGGAUACCUAUUUCCCUUCUAUGCCUACAACUUGAGCUUUUUUUCAGUGUAAAUACCAGACGUACAGCAGACUGCAGGAACAGAGGGAGAACGACAGAGGGCGCUGCUCUCCCUCGCUGGUGGUUUGAUAUCAAUUCAUUUUUCAUUUCUGAGAACAUUUCUCUCUUGCUCAGCCUACAGCAUGAUUGUGUAGGGGAGUUUGGCUUGCAUAACGCAUGAACCAAGAUUUUCUUGAAGAUUUCAACAGAAGAUCAAGAAACUAGAGGAAUAGUUUUUUUCAACUUUCCUGUAUCCCCAAACUCAGUCUCCCACUGCUUCUGAGCCAGCUAUGCUGUCUGCUUUGUGCUUAGGACUUGCGAUCUUGUUGACAAUGCGAGGGACCAAUGGUGACUCAGUGAACCAGACAGAAGGCCCAGUGAUUGUCUCAGAGGGGGCUCUCAUGACCCUGAACUGCACUUACCAGACUGUUGGUUCAGUUCCCUAUCUUUUCUGGUACGUCCAGCAUCUCAACAAAGCUCCUCAACUCCUUCUGAAGGGCUUCACAGCAGACAAGACGGUAGAGCAUGAAGGUUUUCAGGCCACUCUUGUUAAGAGGGACAGCUCCUUCCACCUGCAGAAAGGGGCAGUGCAAACAUCGGACUCGGCUGUGUACUACUGUGCUCUGAGGGACACAGUGAUAGAGCGCUGCAGGGGGAGCUGAGCGCAAACCCAGAU